AGAGAUCUGGAGGAAUACCGGUGGCGAAGGCGGCCCCCUGGACGAAGACUGACGCUCAGGUGCGAAAGCGUGGGGAGCAAACAGGAUUAGAUACCCUGGUAGUCCACGCCGUAAACGAUGUCGACUUGGAGGUUGUGCCCUUGAGGCGUGGCUUCCGGAGCUAACGCGUUAAGUCGACCGCCUGGGGAGUACGGCCGCAAGGUUAAAACUCAAAUGAAUUGACGGGGGCCCGCACAAGCGGUGGAGCAUGUGGUUUAAUUCGAUGCAACGCGAAGAACC
RNAcentral lists this ribosomal RNA (279 nucleotides) under Escherichia coli. RNAcentral describes it as "partial 16S ribosomal RNA". It matches the Rfam family "Bacterial small subunit ribosomal RNA", at positions 692 to 970 of the family's 1533-position model. The record is from RNAcentral. RNAcentral also lists the same sequence under 3 other names. Lineage: Bacteria; Pseudomonadati; Pseudomonadota; Gammaproteobacteria; Enterobacterales; Enterobacteriaceae.